AACUGGGGCAUAGACACAGGGCUGUGUUAUGCAAAGAAACUUUUGUUUUAGAGUCCACCCAGAUGUCUGUGGUCCUGAGAGCACGUGGAGCAGAAGGAUCGGAAAGGAAUAUAAGGAAGUGAUAAAUGGAGGACUUCAAAUGGCAUUGGAACUGGAUUGCUGACACGUUUUGGCAUGCUGUUUGCAGAGCACACACCAAAAGAAAUAUCUGUGUACCUUCGCAGUACAGUGGAGAUCUGCACACUUACAGGAGCAGAAGAGAAGAGGAUGCCUGCCACCUCCUCAACUAAAGUAGCCUGAUAUGGCCAUAAAGAAGAAGAAUUUGAGGAAGACGUGAAAGAUUUAGGAAAGAUGGAGAAGUCAUUGUAUAUUAGGACUACUCGGGGAACUUUAUUUACUAGUGAAUUACCCCACCUUUCUCAUA
Molecule: long non-coding RNA, 424 nt
Filed under: Struthio camelus australis
Lineage: Eukaryota; Metazoa; Chordata; Aves; Struthioniformes; Struthionidae
Description: lncRNA (ENSSCUG00000012028.1)
Source: RNAcentral